AUGGCUUCUUGACAGCCUUCAAUACCUACUGCACCUGGGCAUGGGCACUACAAUCCUUAUCUUCUGACUGUGAGGUGUAGAGAGUUGACAACGGGGUGGAGGCAGUGGCCAUGGCUGCCAUGGUCCAACGUCAGUAGAUGUGGAAUUGAAGAGAGUUUAGAAGAUGAAGAGUUAACUUUAUAUGGAAUAGGAGUUUAUUUUUGGAAGACACCACCAGAAGCCAAACGUCGAUGUAUGGAAGGACCCUCACACAUUGAAGAUGGAGAUGCAGAUGAUGAAGAUUGUGAAAUGUCCAUAGAGCUGGCAGUAGAGUAAAGUUUUUGGAACCUUUCCAGUGUAUCAUCUGUCUUUUGGCCAAACAGUGCCUCAUCAUCAAAAGGACUCCAAGGUCAUGAUCCAAGCAACCCUAAUUCUUGGUUCAGAGAGUGGAAGAAAAUAAACUGGAAUUAGCUAACAUUAAAAUGCUCAGUUAGAAGAGAUGACAAAAUACUGCUGCCUGAUCCAAGGUCCAUGGUACGCCAAUUUCCUUGGUGUCAGUUGCAGGACCUUGCCUCUUAACACAAAGAGAUGCUUUAACUGAGCAUCCUGGAACU
Molecule: long non-coding RNA, 593 nt
Organism: Hemicordylus capensis (graceful crag lizard)
Lineage: Eukaryota; Metazoa; Chordata; Lepidosauria; Squamata; Cordylidae
Exons: 4
Source: RefSeq, a predicted model, not a curated record